RNAcentral lists this unclassified non-coding RNA (113 nucleotides) under Chryseobacterium arachidis. RNAcentral describes it as "Flavo-1 RNA". The record is from RNAcentral. Lineage: Bacteria; Pseudomonadati; Bacteroidota; Flavobacteriia; Flavobacteriales; Weeksellaceae.
CUUUAGCCCUGAUUGAGCGGCAUGUUUGAGCUUUUUCUUUAGUUUAGGCUGCGGCGGCUUUGCCGCCGCAGCCUAAACUAAAGAAAAAGCGAGUAGCGAAAGCAGGUUCCCGG